Molecule: small nuclear RNA, 323 nt
Filed under: Erinaceus europaeus (western European hedgehog)
Lineage: Eukaryota; Metazoa; Chordata; Mammalia; Eulipotyphla; Erinaceidae
Description: 7SK RNA
Rfam family: 7SK RNA (bases 1-272)
About the family: 7SK was discovered as an abundant small nuclear RNA in the mid-70s but a possible function has only recently been suggested. Two independent studies have found that 7SK RNA binds the CDK9/cyclin T complex (known as elongation factor P-TEFb).
Source: Rfam by way of RNAcentral
GGAUGUGAGGGCGAUCUGGCUGCGACACCUGUCACCCCAUUGAUCGCCAGGGUUGAUUCGGCUGAUCUGGCUGGCUAGGCAGGUGUCCCCUUCCUCCCUCACCGCUCCAUGUGCUUCCCUCCCGAAGCUGCGCACUGGUCGAAGAGGACGGCUUUCCCCGAAUAGAGACGUCUUGGGUCGAGGGUAUACAAGUAGCUGAGCUCCACUGCUAGAACCUCCAAACAAGCUCUCAAGAUGUGUGUGUGUAUGUGUGUGUGUGUGUGUGUGUGUGUGUGUGUGUGGUUUCUUCUGUUGUUUCCAUGGGCUUGCCAUUCCUGACUGAC